Molecule: non-coding RNA, 114 nt
Organism: Acanthosepion pharaonis
Lineage: Eukaryota; Metazoa; Mollusca; Cephalopoda; Sepiida; Sepiidae
Source: the annotation of a GenBank genome assembly
UUACGACCGUAUCACGUUGAAACACCAGUUCCCCUACGAUCAACAAAGUUAAGCAAUGUUGAGCUUGGUCCGAACCUAGAUGGGUAACCAUUUGGGAAUACCAAGUGCUGUAAG